Molecule: transfer RNA, 77 nt
Filed under: Klebsormidium nitens
Lineage: Eukaryota; Viridiplantae; Streptophyta; Klebsormidiophyceae; Klebsormidiales; Klebsormidiaceae
Rfam family: tRNA
About the family: Transfer RNA (tRNA) molecules are approximately 80 nucleotides in length. Their secondary structure includes four short double-helical elements and three loops (D, anti-codon, and T loops). Further hydrogen bonds mediate the characteristic L-shaped molecular structure. tRNAs have two regions of fundamental functional importance: the anti-codon, which is responsible for specific mRNA codon recognition, and the 3' end, to which the tRNAs corresponding amino acid is attached (by aminoacyl-tRNA synthetases). tRNAs cope with the degeneracy of the genetic code in two manners: having more than one tRNA (with a specific anti-codon) for a particular amino acid; and 'wobble' base-pairing, i.e. permitting non-standard base-pairing at the 3rd anti-codon position.
Source: Rfam by way of RNAcentral
CGGCUUGUAGCUCAGUGGAAGAGCGCUUGGCCCCUCGUGGGGCCCAGAGGUCUUGGGUUCAAACCCCAACCUGCCCC